This is a long non-coding RNA of Pan troglodytes (chimpanzee), 1874 nucleotides long. RefSeq lists it as uncharacterized. NCBI's taxonomy places the organism in Eukaryota, Metazoa, Chordata, Mammalia, Primates, Hominidae. The record is from RefSeq and is a predicted model, not a curated record. The transcript is spliced from 3 exons.
ACCUCGCGAGGCUGCGGCUGGGGCAGAAAUCCGUCUCUGUGAGCGGAGGAGGGUGCUGCUUAUGCGAGAGCAGGUUUUGGGAGCUCACUAAAGCAGGGUCUCACUCUGUUGCUCAGGCUGGAGUGCAGUGGUAUGAUCAUGGUUCACUGCAGCCUCAAUCUCCCAGGCUCAAGCAAACCUCCACGUCAGCCUCCCAAGUAGCUGGGACCACAGGUCCCUGAUUCUGGUCUUGAAUAGCGGAGGAGGAAAAGAAGAAAUGAUGGGGGAAAAGCAAAGAAGCCAUUUAUGCAUCCCUCCCUAAUUCAGUAUCCGAGCAUGAGGGAGUGUCAAGCUAGUGGGGAAGAAGAGAGGGUUUAGUUUUGAAUGAAGUUAGGAGUUUUUAUUAUUGCACUGAACUAAAUAGGCAUUUUACUAAAGUCAAGACUGUUCUUGUUAUUUAAAGGAACGGGAUCAUCAAUGGAACUCUCUGAGAUUUCAUCCAGAGGCUGGGAAAGAACAUUCAUGGUAGCUUUUAUUAUUAUUUUCAUUAUUGUAAGUUGAGGAAGAGAAAACCCAGGAAAAUAUACAAACAGUGAUUGGAAUUAAUAACAGAGUAAAACAAGGUGGCUGCAUAAAAGGUCAAUAUUCAAAAUCAAUUUUGUUAUUACUUACCAGCAACAUAAUUUUUUUUUUUUUUUUUUUUUGAGACAGAGUUUCACUCUUGUUGCCCAGGCUGGAGUGCAACGGUGUGAUCUUGGCUCACUGCAACCUCCGCCUCCCGGGUUCAAGCGAUUCUCCUGCCUCAGCCUCCUGAGUAGCUGGGAUUACAGGCAUGCACCGCCACACCUGGCUAAUUUUGUAUUUUUAGUAGAGAUGGAGUUUCACCAUGUUGGUCAGGCUGGUCUCGAACUCCUGACCUCAGGUGAUCUGCCCGCCUCAGCAUCCCAAAAUGCUGGGAUUAUAGGCAUGAGCCACCACACCUGGCCAGCAACAUAAUCUUUCUUUAAAAAUAUACCUGUUCACGACUGAGGCUCAGGGAAAAGAAAAGGAAAAAAAAUACCAUCUACGGUAGCAACAAAAUACAAGAUUUUCAGAAUCAAUCUAACAAAAAAUGUACAAUAUGUACAGGAGAAAAUCCUGAAAUGUUACUGAAAAAAAUUAGGAAAUAUCAAUAAAUGGAGUGCUAUAUCAUAUUCCUGGAAGGAUUCAAUAGCAUAACAAUGUUAACUCCCCCAAAAUUGAUCUAGAAAUUCAAUUCUAUUCCAAUCAAAAUGCCAGCAGAGUAUUUGUGGGUGUGAUCUGAUGCUCUGAUUAUAUAAUUCAAAUAGAACAACAAGGAUCCAAGAAUAACCAGAACAAUUUUAAAGAACAAGGUGGGUGAACUACCUCUACCACAUAUUAAGUCUCAUUAUGAAAUACAGUUUUUAAGACAGCCUGGCAUUAGAGUAAGGACAGAAAAACAAAAGAAUAAAACAACAUAAAGAGAGAAACACGAUAGAAAAAGAAUAUACAAAACGGAAACAGACCCAAACAUAUAAAGAAACUUGACAGGUGACAGAGCAGCAUUAACUAUUCCUGGACUGAUUAUCCAUGUGGAAAAAGUUAAUCAGAUUUCCACCUCAUACAUACAAAUUUAUUUAUAUAAAAUAAAUUCCAGAUGAAUUAAACCUAAAUGUGAAAAGCAAAACUUUGAAAAUACAGGAAUAUGUAAAAACAUAUAUGUAUGAUCCACAUAUAUGAUAAAAUGGAGGAUAGCAGGGCACAGCAGCAUGCACCUGUAGUCCUGCCUCAGCCUCUUUAGUAGGUGAGGUAGCUGAGGCAGAAGAAUCACUUGAGCCCAGGAAUUCGAGGCCGGCUUGGGCAACAUAGCAAGACCCAGUCUCUAAAAACAAUUU